AUUGAACGCUGGCGGCAUGCCUUACACAUGCAAGUCGAACGGCAGCACGGGGGCAACCCUGGUGGCGAGUGGCGAACGGGUGAGUGAUACAUCGGAAUGUACCCAGUAGUGGGGGAUAACUAGUCGAAAGAUUAGCUAAUACCGCAUACGCACUAUGGUGGAAAGCGGGGGAUCGCAAGACCUCGCGCUAUUGGAGCAGCCGAUGUCCGAUUAGGUAGUUGGUGGGGUAAAAGCCUACCAAGCCUGCGAUCGGUAACUGGUCUGAGAGGACGACCAGUCACACUGGGACUGAGACACGGCCCCAGACUCCUACGGGAGGCAGCAGUGGGGGAAUUUUGGACAAUGGGGGAAACCCUGAUCCAGCAAUGCCGCGUGUGUGAAGAAGGCC
This 388-nucleotide ribosomal RNA is filed under the name uncultured bacterium. RNAcentral describes it as "bacterial SSU rRNA". It matches the Rfam family "Bacterial small subunit ribosomal RNA", at positions 30 to 416 of the family's 1533-position model. The record is from RNAcentral.